This 787-nucleotide long non-coding RNA is filed under the name Mytilus galloprovincialis (Mediterranean mussel). The record is from RNAcentral. Lineage: Eukaryota; Metazoa; Mollusca; Bivalvia; Mytilida; Mytilidae.
UAAAUGUGCACUUGUGGUUCCCAAAUAAUGAUUUAAUAUCAGUUUUAUGUUUUGAGAGUGUUAAAUGUGUUGAUAUUUAUAUAAAGUUCUGUGACUUUUUAAUGCACAGAAAGCGUACGUUACAUUUUUAGUUAUUAACUAUAUUAUCAGUGCCGAAAUGGCGCAAUUUCGUCAUGCACGGUUCAAGCGCAGCCAUUUGAUAAAUAUUCUAAGUACGGAUCCAAAAUUACACAAGAAGCAUAAGCUUAAGUUAAUCUAUGCUUUAACUUAAUAGUUUUACCUAUUUUCUUACAAAGAAAGAAUCAUUUUGAGUCGAGGACUACCAUGUUUUUGUCAGCGUUUGACGUUUCAUUUCUGUUCCGGAUUAGAAUAUUUACUUCCGGUAAUUUAAAAUAAAUACUAGUGCAAAGGUCAAAUUCCUCAGUCUUUGCUGUUUACAUUUUGGCAUAUUGCAAAGAUCCCGGGUGGUUCCUUUAGAGGUAAGAAGCAGCGCAUUAGCUGUUUGCCUCGCAUGGUCUAAAUUAUCUAGUUUACAUAUAUCGUUUGGCAAUUCCUUGUCCUAGUUUCAAAAAACACAUGCGAAAUAAUAUUAUUAUUGAGAUCAGCUCCGCCUAUUUAUGCAAAUUUACAUGACAAACUAUUUAUAAGACAAGUAUCUUGAGAAAACGUACGGAAUUACAUGUUAUAUAUUUUACAAUAGUUUAUUCUGUACAUUGUUGAAUUGUGCCGUAAUAAAUAUACUAUUUUACUACGAAUUAUUCAUUCACGCUACCAAGAGAGAACAGAC